UUGAACGCUGGCGGUAUGCUUAACACAUGCAAGUCGAACGGAAACGAUACUAGCUUGCUAGUAGGCGUCGAGUGGCGGACGGGUGAGUAACGCGUAGGAAUCUGCCUGAUAGUGGGGGAUAGCCCGAAGAAAUUCGGAUUAAUACCGCAUAAUCUAUUCGUAGUAAAGUGGGGGACUUUCGAGCCUCACGCUAUCAGAUGAGCCUGCGUAAGAUUAGCUUGUUGGUAGGGUAAAAGCCUACCAAGGCGACGAUCUUUAGCUGGUCUGAGAGGAUGAUCAGCCACAUCGGGACUGAGACACGGCCCGAACUCCUACGGGAGGCAGCAGUGGGGAAUAUUGGACAAUGGGGGCAACCCUGAUCCAGCAAUACCGCGUGUGUGAAGAAGGCCUGAGGGUUGUAAAGCACUUUCAAUUGUGAAGAAAAGUUAGCGGUUAAUAACCGUUAGCCUUGACGUUAACUUUAGAAGAAGCACCGGCUAACUCCGUGCCAGCAGCCGCGGUAAUACGGAGGGUGCAAGCGUUAAUCGGAAUUACUGGGCGUAAAGCGUGCGUAGGCGGUUUAUUAAGUCAGAUGUGAAAGCCCCGGGCUUAACCUGGGAACUGCAUUUGAAACUGGUCAACUAGAGUAUGGUAGAGGAAAGUGGAAUUUCUGGUGUAGCGGUGAAAUGCGUAGAUAUCAGAAGGAACAUCAAUGGCGAAAGGCAGCUUUCUGGACCAAUACUGACGCUGAGGUACGAAAGCGUGGGUAGCAAACAGGAUUAGAUACCCUGGUAGUCCACGCCGUAAACGAUGAUAACUAGCCGUUGGGGGGAUUUACCCUUUAGUGGCGAAGCUAACGCGUUAAGUUAUCCGCCUGGGGAGUACGGCCGCAAGGUUAAAACUCAAAGGAAUUGACGGGGACCCGCACAAGCGGUGGAGCAUGUGGUUUAAUUCGAUGCAACGCGAAGAACCUUACCUGGUCUUGACAUCCUGCGAACUUUCUAGAAAUAGAUUGGUGCCUUCGGGAACGCAGUGACAGGUGCUGCAUGGCUGUCGUCAGCUCGUGUCGUGAGAUGUUGGGUUAAGUCCCGUAACGAGCGCAACCCCUAUCCUUAUUUGCCAGCACAUCAUGGUGGGAACUAUAAGGAGACUGCCGGUGAUAAACCGGAGGAAGGCGGGGACGACGUCAAGUCAUCAUGGCCCUUACGACCAGGGCUACACACGUGCUACAAUGGGAAGGACAAAGAGCCGCGAAGCCGCGAGGUGUAGCUAAUCUCAUAAACCUUUUCGUAGUCCGGAUUGGAGUCUGCAACUCGACUCCAUGAAGUCGGAAUCGCUAGUAAUCGUAGAUCAGAAUGCUACGGUGAAUACGUUCCCGGGUCUUGUACUCACCGCCCG
RNAcentral lists this ribosomal RNA (1377 nucleotides) under uncultured bacterium. RNAcentral's name for it is "bacterial SSU rRNA". It matches the Rfam family "Bacterial small subunit ribosomal RNA", at positions 29 to 1396 of the family's 1533-position model. The record is from RNAcentral.